GGGUCUAUAGUCUAACGGUAGACAUGCCGAUACGAUGAUGUUUCGAGCAGUUCCCGGUUCGACUCCGGGUAGACCCC
This is a non-coding RNA of Tulasnella sp. 418, 77 nucleotides long. Lineage: Eukaryota; Fungi; Basidiomycota; Agaricomycetes; Cantharellales; Tulasnellaceae. The record is from the annotation of a GenBank genome assembly.